AUACGUAGGUGGCAAGCGUUACUCGGAAUCACUGGGCAUAAAGCGCGCGUAGGCGGCCUUGUUAGUCGGGUGUGAAAUCCCGCAGCUCAACUGCGGAACUGCGCCCGAUACUGCGAGGCUUGAGGCCGGUAGGGGAGAGUGGAAUUCCCGGUGGAGCGGUGAAAUGCGUUGAUAUCGGGAGGAACGCCGGUGGCGAAAGCGACUCUCUGGUCCGGUCCUGACGCUGAGGUGCGAAAGCUAGGGGAGCAAACGGGAUUAGAAACCCCAGUAGUCC
RNAcentral lists this ribosomal RNA (274 nucleotides) under uncultured bacterium. Its description in RNAcentral is "partial 16S ribosomal RNA". It matches the Rfam family "Bacterial small subunit ribosomal RNA", at positions 523 to 796 of the family's 1533-position model. The record is from RNAcentral.